AGCAGGAUGGAGUAAUGGUAACUUCUCAGGCUCAUGAUCUGAAGAUACUGGUUCAAUCCCAGUUCCUGCUC
Molecule: transfer RNA, 71 nt
Filed under: Cymbomonas tetramitiformis
Lineage: Eukaryota; Viridiplantae; Chlorophyta; Pyramimonadophyceae; Pyramimonadales; Pyramimonadaceae
Description: tRNA-Met
Rfam family: tRNA
About the family: Transfer RNA (tRNA) molecules are approximately 80 nucleotides in length.
Source: RNAcentral